RNAcentral lists this long non-coding RNA (777 nucleotides) under Gossypium barbadense (sea-island cotton). RNAcentral describes it as "long non-coding RNA (GBAR_LNC016182)". Lineage: Eukaryota; Viridiplantae; Streptophyta; Magnoliopsida; Malvales; Malvaceae. The record is from RNAcentral.
GGCUUAUUCCGAGUGUUCAACCCAUAAACCAUAUAUUGCAACCCUUUACCACAUUUCCCGAUUUAACAACAUUUUUAGGAUAUGGCCAAACGUUUAUUUUAAUUCUAAAUAAAUCUCAACAUAUAUCAAAUAAUGUCAAAAUAAUACAUUAAGUCACGUGUUUACUUACCUCGGUGUAAAAUAUCGUAAUUUUGCACUUUACUCCCCUAUCUUUUCUUUUCCCCGUUUGAUAUACUCUUCACGUCUUUCUUGAUCUAUAAUAGCAAAUUUAACUCGUUUAAUAUUCACAUUUAUUAAAAUAAUCCACCACCUAACUUUUUUAAAAAAUUACAAUUUUGCCCCCAAACUUUUGCAUAAUUACACUUUUAUCCCCAAGCUCGGAAAUUAAACUUCAUCACUUAUUCUUAAGUUUUAUAACAUGCUGAACAUUUUUCCCUUCUAUGGAAACAUCAAAUUCCCACUCCAACACAUACUUUUGAAUAUUAAUUAUUUUUACCGAUUAUGUCUAUUUACCCGUUUUCGCUUAAAAUUGCUUAGCAAAAGUUGUUUAACAUAAUCUCUAGCUUCAUAUUCCAUCAUAAAACAGCAAAAUAAACACAUUUCACCUAUGGAUAUUUUUCCAAAUAUGAACCCUAACAUGAAUUAAUGGUAGAAUAAGCUAAACCAAGUUACCGGGACUCCAAAAAUACGAAGAACAUUAAAAACGAGGCUUAGAAUCACUUACUAUGGAGCUUGAAAGCUUAAAAACCCUAAAUAUGGCUUCCCCCUUGCUGAUUU